UACAGAGGGUGCAAGCGUUAAUCGGAAUUACUGGGCGUAAAGGGCGCGUAGGUGGGUUGAUAAGUUAGAUGUGAAAUACCUGGGCUUAACCUGGGAGGGUCAUUUAAUACUGUCAAUCUGGAGUAUGGUAGAGGGUAGUGGAAUUUCCGGUGUAGCGGUGAAAUGCGUAGAUAUCGGAAGGAACAUCAAUGGCGAAGGCAGCUACCUGGACUGAUACUGACACUGAGGCGCGAGAGCGUGGGUAGCAAACAGG
This 253-nucleotide ribosomal RNA is filed under the name uncultured bacterium. RNAcentral describes it as "partial 16S ribosomal RNA". It matches the Rfam family "Bacterial small subunit ribosomal RNA", at positions 524 to 776 of the family's 1533-position model. The record is from RNAcentral.